Meriones unguiculatus (Mongolian gerbil) is the source of this 2614-nucleotide long non-coding RNA. RefSeq lists it as uncharacterized. NCBI's taxonomy places the organism in Eukaryota, Metazoa, Chordata, Mammalia, Rodentia, Muridae. The transcript has 4 exons. The record is from RefSeq and is a predicted model, not a curated record.
UCUGACCCUGAGAAACUCUGUGCAACCAUAGUAACCAGACAGCAGGCUCUGUGUAACCUUGAGUGAGCUCUCCUAUGUUUUGACCAAGUAAAGCUCCUACAUGAGAAACUGCUUGCACUUUUUUGCCUACUUAAGUGUUAACCUGACAUCCAUUAAAUCGACACCUGGAUCAGCAUGUAGACUUGGUGUCCUUCUCUGUGUCACCUUGUCUCUCUCUCUCCCAGCCCUCUCUCAGGUGGUAUUCAGGUGUCACUGCUGGUCGGUGAUAGAUGGAGCCGAAACCCCAGGAACCUGAGACGGAGGACCAGCUGAGGCAAGUUAUAGGGACCACAGGAGCUUGCGCAAAGCAACUGACUAAGGUUAAAGAUGCUGCUUGGUGGCUGCCAGAGAGACUGGUGCAACAAGUGGAUUACUUCAAGGAACAAGAUCAUUCUCCAAGUGACAAUAUUGCUGAUCCUGCUGCAGCUGAUUCAUCCAGUGAAGGCUAAAUUACACUUUUAGGCCUUAGUACCCAAUCCCCCUCUUGGUCUCCCUGUACAUGUUUGCACACCUUUGUUUAGCUGGUCUGGUACUAUUCAUCUUUGUCAUUGCCAGAGGUGUCCACUUAGCUCAACAGCACCAAGCUAGAUUUAUUGCCAUUGAAACAGUAGCAUGCUAUGUCUCCCUCGCCCCAGGUAGGGGCUUAGCUUGCCCAGCUCAAACUUCAGCUUUAACCUCUUCUUUCCUGUGUGAUGGCCCGGUUAGUCAAUGACAGGUUCUGGGUGAUCAGAUAUUUAUCAACCUAAGACACGGAAAUCCCCCAUAAGCGGGAUUCUCCCAUGAUGGGUCAGAUAUUUAUUGGGAAUCACUCCCACCUAAGACAGGCAUGGUCACUUUGUUUUAAUUCGAAAGGGAGGAAUUAUGGCAGCCUUUUUGGAGUUAAUGGCAAAUUUGGAGUUAAUGGCAUCUGAGCAGUGGAAUUCAGCCUCUUAGCUUUGGCUAUUUUCCAAAGUCCAGUUUCUCAUGAACUGACCUUGUUGGUCCUACAGCAGACUGCUCUGACCCUGAGAAACUCUGUGCAACCAUAGUAAUCAGACAGCAGGUUCUGUGUAACCUUGAGUGAGCUCUCCUAUGUUUUGACCAAGUAAAGCUCCUACAUGAGAAACUGCUUGCACUUUUUUGCCUACUUAAGUGUUAACCUGACAUCCAUUAAAUCGACACCUGGAUCAGCAUGUAGACUUGGUGUCCUUCUCUGUGUCACCUUGUCUCUCUCUUUCCCAGCCCUCUCUCAGGUGGUAUUCAGGUGUCACUGCUAGUCGGUGAUAAAAAAGAAAGGUUAAAAUUGGCUUAAACCAAGGAAAGAGGCUGAAUGAGACAUUUAAACCCUCCCCCCCACAAAGAAAGGAUCAUGACAGCUGGUUAAAGAUUCGCUUGAUGGUUCCGCCUUCCACCUUCCUGAUGGUUAAAGAUGCUGCUUGGUGGCUGCCAGAGAGACUGGUGCAACAAGUGGAUUACUUCAAGGAACAAGAUCAUUCUCCAAGUGACAAUAUUGCUGAUCCUGCUGCAGCUGAUUCAUCCAGUGAAGGCUAAAUUACACUUUUAGGCCUUAGUACCCAAUCCCCCUCUUGGUCUCCCUGUACAUGUUAGCACAAUUUUGUUUGGCUGGUCCGGUACUAUUCAUCUUUGUCAUUGCCAGAGGUGUCCACUUAGCUCAACAGCACCAAGCUAGAUUUAUUGCCAUUGAAACAGUAGCAUGCUAUGUCUCCCUCGCCCCAGGUAGGGGCUUAGCUUGCCCAGCUCAAACUUCAGCUUUAACCUCUUCUUUCCUGUGUGAUGGCCCGGUUAGUCAAUGACAGGUUCUGGGUGAUCAGAUAUUUAUCAACCUAAGACACGGAAAUCCCCCAUAAGCGGGAUUCUCCCAUGAUGGGUCAGAUAUUUAUUGGGAAUCACUCCCACCUAAGACAGGCAUGGUCACUUUGUUUUAAUUCGAAAGGGAGGAAUUAUGGCAGCCUUUUUGGAGUUAAUGGCAAAUUUGGAGUUGAUGGCAUCUGAGUGGUAGAAUUCGGCCUCUUGGCUUUGGCUAUUUUCCAAAGUCCAGUUUCUCAUAAACUAACCUUGUUGGUCCUACAGCAGACUGCUCUGACCCUGAGAAACUCUGUGCAACCACAGUAACCAGACAGUAGGUUCUGUGUAACCUUGAGUGAGCUCUCCUAUGUUUUGACCAAGUAAAGCUCCUACAUGAGAAACUGCUUGCACUUUUUUGCCUACUUAAGUGUUAACCUGACGUCCAUCAAAUAGACACCUGGAUCAGCAUGUAGACUUGGUGUCCUCUGUCUCUGUCUCUGUCUCUGUCUCUCUCUCUCUGUCUCUCUCUCUCUUUCUCUAUUUCUCUCUCUCUCUCUCUCUCUCUCUCUCUCUCUCUCUCUCUCUCUCUCCCUCCCAGCCCUCUCUCAGGUGGUAUUCAGGUGUCACUGCUGGCUGGUGACAGUUUCUGAUUUUGUUGAUGUGAAUAGUUACUCUCUGGCUUUUACUUAGUUUGGCUAAGGGUUUGUCUAUCUUUUUGAUUUUCUCAAAGAACCAGCUCUUGAUUUCAUUGAUUCUUUGCAUUGUUUUAUUUGUUUCUAAUUUAUUGAUU